Molecule: ribosomal RNA, 105 nt
Filed under: Amphilophus citrinellus (Midas cichlid)
Lineage: Eukaryota; Metazoa; Chordata; Actinopteri; Cichliformes; Cichlidae
Source: RNAcentral
GCUUACAACUAUACCAGUCUGAGCAUCUUAUCAUAACUAAGCUGGGUCAGGCUUGGUUAGCACACGGACAUGAGACCACCUUAGAAUACCUUGGUAUUGUGAGCU